RNAcentral lists this ribosomal RNA (369 nucleotides) under uncultured organism. RNAcentral describes it as "bacterial SSU rRNA". It matches the Rfam family "Bacterial small subunit ribosomal RNA", at positions 526 to 896 of the family's 1533-position model. The record is from RNAcentral.
CGGAGGAUCCAAGCGUUAUCCGGAUUUAUUGGGUUUAAAGGGUGCGUAGGCGGCUUUUUAAGUCAGGGGUGUAAAGACGGUAGCUCAACUAUCGCAGUGCCCUUGAUACUGAAGAGCUUGAAUGUACUUGAGGUAGGCGGAAUGUGACAAGUAGCGGUGAAAUGCAUAGAUAUGUCACAGAACACCAAUUGCGAAGGCAGCUUACUAAAGUAUGAUUGACGCUGAGGCACGAAAGCGUGGGGAUCAAACAGGAUUAGAUACCCUGGUAGUCCACGCCCUAAACGAUGAACACUCGAUGUUGGCGAUAUACGGUCAGCGUCUAAGCGAAAGCGUUAAGUGUUCCACCUGGGGAGUACGCCCGCAAGGUUG